UGGACUGCUGAUGAUCACUGCCGGCGUAUGAAUCUCUGAUCAUGAAUAAUACGUUUCUGGAACUCUGAGGUCCAA
This is a small nucleolar RNA of Ictidomys tridecemlineatus (thirteen-lined ground squirrel), 75 nucleotides long. Ensembl annotates it as small nucleolar RNA, C/D box 114-14. NCBI's taxonomy places the organism in Eukaryota, Metazoa, Chordata, Mammalia, Rodentia, Sciuridae. The record is from Ensembl.